RNAcentral lists this ribosomal RNA (465 nucleotides) under uncultured bacterium. RNAcentral describes it as "partial 16S ribosomal RNA". It matches the Rfam family "Bacterial small subunit ribosomal RNA", at positions 28 to 507 of the family's 1533-position model. The record is from RNAcentral.
GACGAACGCUGGCGGCGUGCUUAACACAUGCAAGUCGAACGGAAAGGCCCUGCUUGCAGGGUACUCGAGUGGCGAACGGGUGAGUAACACGUGGGUGGUCUGCCCUGCACUUCGGGAUAAGCCUUGGAAACUGGGUCUAAUACCGGAUAGGAGCCAUUUUUAGUGUGAUGGUUGGAAAGUUUUUUCGGUGUAGGAUGAGCUCGCGGCCUAUCAGCUUGUUGGUGGGGUAAUGGCCUACCAAGGCGGCUACGGGUAGCCGGCCUGAGAGGGUGGACGGCCACAUUGGGACUGAGAUACGGCCCAGACUCCGACGGGAGGCAGCAGGGGGGAAUAUUGCACAAUGGGAGCAAGCCUGAUGCAGCGACGCCGCGGGGGGGAUGACGGCCUUCGGGUUGUAAACGCCUUUCGCUAGGGACGAAGCUUUUUGUGACGGUACCUAGAUAAGAAGCACCGGCUAACUACGUG